This 445-nucleotide ribosomal RNA is filed under the name uncultured bacterium. RNAcentral's name for it is "partial 16S ribosomal RNA". It matches the Rfam family "Bacterial small subunit ribosomal RNA", at positions 354 to 796 of the family's 1533-position model. The record is from RNAcentral.
GUGAGGAAUAUUGGUCAAUGGACGAGAGUCUGAACCAGCCAAGUCGCGUGAAGGAAGACGGUUCUAUGAAUUGUAAACUUCUUUUGUGCAGGAAUAAAGUGGGUUACGUGUAACCUUUUGUAUGUACUGUACGAAUAAGGAUCGGCUAACUCCGUGCCAGCAGCCGCGGUAAUACGGAGGAUCCGAGCGUUAUCCGGAUUUAUUGGGUUUAAAGGGUGCGUAGGUGGAUUGAUGAGUCAGCGGUGAAAGUUUGCAGCUUAACUGUAAAAUUGCCGUUGAAACUGUCGGUCUUGAGUGCAAAUGAGGUAGGCGGAAUGUGUUGUGUAGCGGUGAAAUGCUUAGAUAUAACACAGAACUCCGAUUGCGAAGGCAGCUUACUGGGAUGCAACUGACACUGAUGCACGAAAGCGUGGGUAUCAAACAGGAUUAGAAACCCUGGUAGUCC